This is a long non-coding RNA of Oncorhynchus tshawytscha (Chinook salmon), 415 nucleotides long. NCBI's taxonomy places the organism in Eukaryota, Metazoa, Chordata, Actinopteri, Salmoniformes, Salmonidae. The record is from Ensembl.
GUUGAUACAGGGGAGACAGAUGGACAUCUGUGGAUUAGGUGAAGGAGGGGUUGAGGUCAGGAGGUGAGGACAGAGAUGUGUUGAUACAUGGGGAGACAGAUGGACAUCUGUGGAUUAGGUGAAGGAGGGGUUGAGGUCAGGAGGAGAGGAGAGCGAUGUGUUGAUACAGGGGAGACAUCUGGGUAUUAGAUGAGAGGUUGAGGUCAGGACAGAUUCUCUGAAGAGAGUAAUUUAAUGUUUGGUAUCCUGUUACUCUCUUUAUUAGCUUCCUGUGGAGCCAUGAAAUGUAGGGAUUGGAGAGAAAGGGGAGUGUCUUAAGUAGGAUGUAUAUAAACUGUGAAGUCUGAAAUCUUUAGCUGUCUGAUUUUCUGCUGUACAGAACCUUUGGGAAAUGAUUAAACUUGGUUAAAGCUUC